GAUGAACGCUGGCGGCGUGCUUAACACAUGCAAGUCGAACGGAAAGGCCCAAGCUUGCUUGGGUACUCGAGUGGCGAACGGGUGAGUAACACGUGGGUGAUCUGCCCUGCACUUCGGGAUAAGCUUGGGAAACUGGGUCUAAUACCGGAUAGGACGAUGGUUUGGAUGCCAUUGUGGAAAGUUUUUUCGGUGUGGGAUGAGCUCGCGGCCUAUCAGCUUGUUGGUGGGGUAAUGGCCUACCAAGGCGUCGACGGGUAGCCGGCCUGAGAGGGUGUACGGCCACAUUGGGACUGAGAUACGGCCCAGACUCCUACGGGAGGCAGCAGUGGGGAAUAUUGCACAAUGGGCGCAAGCCUGAUGCAGCGACGCCGCGUGGGGGAUGACGGCCUUCGGGUUGUAAACUCCUUUCGCUAGGGACGAAGCGUUUUUGUGACGGUACCUGGAGAAGAAGCACCGGCUAACUACGUG
This 468-nucleotide ribosomal RNA is filed under the name uncultured bacterium. RNAcentral's name for it is "partial 16S ribosomal RNA". It matches the Rfam family "Bacterial small subunit ribosomal RNA", at positions 28 to 507 of the family's 1533-position model. The record is from RNAcentral.